Unclassified non-coding RNA from Vigna unguiculata (cowpea), 2281 nucleotides. Lineage: Eukaryota; Viridiplantae; Streptophyta; Magnoliopsida; Fabales; Fabaceae. The record is from RefSeq and is a predicted model, not a curated record.
UGGCCCAUUCUAUUGAGGCCCAUGAAGUACUUCAAAAUAAGUAUUUAAAGGGAAAAAAUUCCUCUUCCUUACAUAUGUAACUUGUCUAAACAAUGAAGUGAUAUAUGGUUAAGUGGAGGAAACCUUGGUUAGGUCUUCUACAAUUUUUGUGAAUCUUCAAGAAGGUUUUAAUCUCUAGUAAUGGCUUUAAGAGGAAUUGAUGGACAUGCUGUAUGUGAAGGUCCAAUUGAGCAGGUGGUCAGAACAGAGACUAGAGAAGCUGAAGAUUUAUUGAAAAAAUUGGAUAUUCUGAGUCCUCCUUUGUCAAGAAAUUCAGCUCGUGGAAUAUUUUGCUCCCGGUCCCUCAAUCUAAGGUCAAUUAGUGCCAUUGGAUAUGACAUGGACUAUACCUUGGUGCAUUAUAAUGUGAAGGCUUGGGAAGGGCUGGCCUAUGACUACUGUAUGGAAAACCUCAAGAAAAUGGGUUUCCCUGUGGAUGGACUUACAUUUGAUCCAGACCUGGUUAUUAGAGGUCUUGUCAUAGAUAGAGAGAGAGGUAAUUUGGUUAAAGCCGAUCGAUUUGGUUGUAUAAAAAGAGCCAUGCAUGGAACCAAGAUGUUGUCUACUCAAGCUGUGAGGGAGAUAUAUGGGAGUGAGCUGGUGGACUUGCGGAUAGAGGGUCGAUGGGUGUUUUUGAGCACAUUCUUCUCCGUGUCGGAAGCUGUGGCUUACAUGCAGAUGGUUGACAUAUUGGAUGAUGGGAUUAUACCAGCCAAUCUUGGAUACUUUGAUUAUAAAGGGCUUUAUAAGGCUAUGGGAAUAGCCCUUGUCACAGCACAUCUAGAAGGUCACCUCAAGAAUGAGAUUAUGUCCAACCCUGAACAAUUUGUGGAGCUCGAUCCAGAAUUGCCCGUCACGCUUUUGGAUCAAAAGGAGGCCGGAAAAAAGCUUGUCCUCAUUACCAAUUCAGAUUAUCAUUAUACAGACAAAAUGAUGCGUUAUUCCUUUAAUAGAUUCCUUCCUAGUGACAUGGGUUGGCGAGAUUUAUUUGACAUUAUUGUUGUCUCAGCAAACAAACCAGAAUUCUUCCAAAUAUCACACCCCAUGUAUGAGCUGGUGACAGAUGAGGGUUUGAUGCGUCCAUGCUUUAAGGUUCAAAUUGGUGGUUUGUACUCAGGAGGGAGUGCAAAGAUGGUUGAAAGUUCCCUGAAUAUACAUGGCAAUAACAUACUUUACAUUGGAGACCACAUUUACACUGAUGUUAACCAAUCCAAAGUCAAUUUGCAAUGGCGAACAGCAUUGAUAUGUCGGGAAUUAGAAGAAGAAUAUAAUGCCUUAAUUCAUAGUCGAGGUUAUAGACAAUCACUGUUGGAGCUUAUAAAUCAAAAGGAAGUUGUUGGUGAUAUCCUUAACCAACUACAACUAACUCUACAGAGGCGAAGUAAAAGGCUUAAUGCUCAGACCAUUGCUGCAACUGACAUGGACAAUGAAAAUCUUAGUCAAAGCAUGAAGAAAUUACUUGUCGUUAUGCAAAAACUAGAUGGAAAAAUUGCUCCAAUGCUAGAGGCAGAUGGAGCUCUCUUCAAUAAAAGUCGCAUCACCUCCAGAAACGCCAUGUGCCACCAUCAACAUGAGCACAUAUGACCCACACCCUGUUCCAGAGACACCCACUUGUCGCUGCUGCUACCGAAGACAGGCUUGCAGAGAUCCCUAGUGCCAUCCCAAAAGUGGGGAGCCAACAUAUUCGGAGGAUUCUAAAGGAUGGUCAAGAUCAUACCACAUCAAUGGUAGAAAAUGACCCUAAUUUUGAGAUAAUGGACAUUCAUUGAUCCUCGAUGUGGCAUUCCAUGGUUCCUGAAGGUCGUUGUAUUUCAAGAAGAACUCAAGUAAAUAUUUAAUAUGCAGACCAGGCCAAUUAUUGAUUGAUAGACACCAACUAGUGGGUACUGCUCAUUUAUUUGAGGGAACCUAGUUACUUGGAGAAUUGAAAAAUAACUUGUGGUUGCUAGGAGUUGUGCAGAAGUUCAGUUCAGAUCCAUGGCCCACGCAAUUUGUGAAGGAAUAUGGAUACGAAGAAUGCUUGAGGAGCUUAAGGAGAAGAUUGAUGAUGGGAUAAUUAACCUUGUGCAAACUCCUAGUCAUCAAACUGUUGAUAUUUUGACCAAGGUUCUGCCUAGAGCAAACUAUUUGAACUUGAGAUCCAAGUUGCACAUGAUUCACAUCUAUGACCCAACUUGAGGUGGGGCUAUCUAUCACGUGGUGAUUUUUGGGAUAAAAGCCACUUGAUGCGACAAAUUGAGAA